Molecule: unclassified non-coding RNA, 241 nt
Filed under: Hevea brasiliensis (rubber tree)
Lineage: Eukaryota; Viridiplantae; Streptophyta; Magnoliopsida; Malpighiales; Euphorbiaceae
Source: RNAcentral
CGGUCGAUCACAUCCCCCAACCCAAGCUGUCACAUACAUGCAAGUGUUAAAAGUUAUUAUCUAUUUUAAAUUGUAGACACAUUGCAUGGGGGCAAUUUCACCAUAUGCGGACUUCCAUCAGCACUGAAGGUGGCUUAGCAAGGAUGAAUUUAGGCAGUCUCACCUUUUCCUACCCCUGAUUUUUCCUUGACCUUAAAAACUACAUUUUAUAUUAUAAUUGACCCAUAUAAACACAUGAAAC